RNAcentral lists this non-coding RNA (26 nucleotides) under Homo sapiens (human). The record is from RNAcentral. Lineage: Eukaryota; Metazoa; Chordata; Mammalia; Primates; Hominidae.
UCCUUGUUGAAGGCAGAAAGGAGGGA